UAUUAUUUCUAGCUUUAAAUACCACACCAGAACAUUAAUAGAUAUAUUCUUUAAAUUUAAAGGACUUGGCGGUGACUCAGCCUAGUUAGAGGAACCUGUUUUUGAAACGAUAAUCCCCGAAGAAUCUUACCUGUUUUUAGUUUGUAUACCAUCAUUAUUAGAUAAUUUUGAUAAAAUUAAUUGUUAAAAUAUAGGUCCUAUAGUAUAUUAGAUCUAGGUGCAGCGUAUAAACAGGUUAAAAUGGGUUACAAUAAAAUUUAUUUAAACGGAGUAAAGAUUUAAAUAUAUUUAUAAAGGAGGAUUUAAUUGUAAAUUUAAUUUAAUAAGUUAAAUUGAUAUUAGCUCUGAGUUGCGUACAUAUCGCCCGUCGCUGGUCAUA
This 379-nucleotide ribosomal RNA is filed under the name Paraxiopsis kensleyi. Its description in RNAcentral is "partial small subunit ribosomal RNA". The record is from RNAcentral. Lineage: Eukaryota; Metazoa; Arthropoda; Malacostraca; Decapoda; Axiidae.